Aotus nancymaae (Ma's night monkey) is the source of this 158-nucleotide small nuclear RNA. Its record names the gene U2. It matches the Rfam family "U2 spliceosomal RNA". Rfam says of the family: U2 is a small nuclear RNA (snRNA) component of the spliceosome (involved in pre-mRNA splicing). Complementary binding between U2 snRNA (in an area lying towards the 5' end but 3' to hairpin I) and the branchpoint sequence (BPS) of the intron results the bulging out of an unpaired adenosine, on the BPS, which initiates a nucleophilic attack at the intronic 5' splice site, thus starting the first of two transesterification reactions that mediate splicing. The record is from Ensembl. NCBI's taxonomy places the organism in Eukaryota, Metazoa, Chordata, Mammalia, Primates, Aotidae.
AUUGUGUCUUGGCCUUUUGGCUAAGAUCAAGUGGAGUAUCUGUUCUUACCAGUUUCAUAUUAGGGCUGAGACAGGAAUGUUUCCUGAAUGUCUGUGUACAAUUGCAUGAAAUGUUUCACUUACCCUUUGAAGUUUCUGCUUUACAAAGGGUCCUCUUC